UACGUAGGGCGCAAGCGUUGUCCGGAAUUAUUGGGCGUAAAGAGCUCGUAGGCGGUUUGUCGCGUCUGUCGUGAAAAUCCAGGGCUCAACCCUGGACCUGCGUUCGAUACGGGCAGACUAGAGUUCGGUAGGGGAGACUGGAAUUCCUGGUGUAGCGGUGAAAUGCGCAGAUAUCAGGAGGAACACCGGUGGCGAAGGCGGGUCUCUGGGCAUUACCUGACGCUGAGGAGCGAAAGUGUGGGGAGCGAACAGG
RNAcentral lists this ribosomal RNA (253 nucleotides) under uncultured bacterium. RNAcentral describes it as "partial 16S ribosomal RNA". It matches the Rfam family "Bacterial small subunit ribosomal RNA", at positions 524 to 776 of the family's 1533-position model. The record is from RNAcentral.